This 492-nucleotide ribosomal RNA is filed under the name uncultured bacterium. RNAcentral describes it as "partial 16S ribosomal RNA". It matches the Rfam family "Bacterial small subunit ribosomal RNA", at positions 29 to 507 of the family's 1533-position model. The record is from RNAcentral.
AGUGAACGCUGGCGGUAGGCCUAACACAUGCAAGUCGAACGGCAGCACAGUAAGAGCUUGCUCUUACGGGUGGCGAGUGGCGGACGGGUGAGGAAUACAUCGGAAUCUACUUUUUCGUGGGGGAUAACGUAGGGAAACUUACGCUAAUACCGCAUACGACCUACGGGUGAAAGCAGGGGAUCUUCGGACCUUGCGCGAUUGAAUGAGCCGAUGUCGGCUUAGCUAGUUGGCGGGGUAAAGGCCCACCAAGGCGACGAUCCGUAGCUGGUCUGAGAGGAUGGUCAGCCACAUUGGAACUGAGACAGGGUCCAGACUCCUGCGGGAGGCAGCAGUGGGGAAUAUUGGGCAAUGGGGGCAAGCCUGAUCCAGCCAUACCGCGUGGGUGAAGAAGGCCUUCGGGUUGGAAAGCCCUUUUGUUGGGAAAGAAAAGCAGCAGGUUAAUACGCCGCUGUUCUGACGGUACCCGAAGAAUAAGCACCGGCUAACUUCGUG